This 1452-nucleotide ribosomal RNA is filed under the name uncultured organism. Its description in RNAcentral is "SSU rRNA". It matches the Rfam family "Bacterial small subunit ribosomal RNA". The record is from RNAcentral.
UGAACGCUAGCGACAGGCUUAACACAUGCAAGUCGAGGGGCAGCAUGAUUUGUAGCAAUACAGAUUGAUGGCGACCGGCGCACGGGUGAGUAACGCGUAUGCAACUUACCUAUCAGAGGGGGAUAGCCCGGCGAAAGUCGGAUUAAUACCCCAUAAAACAGGGGUCCCGCAUGGGAAUAUUUGUUAAAGAUUCAUCGCUGAUAGAUAGGCAUGCGUUCCAUUAGGCAGUUGGCGGGGUAACGGCCCACCAAACCGACGAUGGAUAGGGGUUCUGAGAGGAAGGUCCCCCACAUUGGUACUGAGACACGGACCAAACUCCUACGGGAGGCAGCAGUGAGGAAUAUUGGUCAAUGGCCGAGAGGCUGAACCAGCCAAGUCGCGUGAAGGAAGAAGGAUCUAUGGUUUGUAAACUUCUUUUAUAGGGGAAUAAAGUGGAGGACGUGUCCUUUUUUGUAUGUACCCUAUGAAUAAGCAUCGGCUAACUCCGUGCCAGCAGCCGCGGUAAUACGGAGGAUGCGAGCGUUAUCCGGAUUUAUUGGGUUUAAAGGGUGCGUAGGUGGUGAUUUAAGUCAGCGGUGAAAGUUUGUGGCUCAACCAUAAAAUUGCCGUUGAAACUGGGUUACUUGAGUGUGUUUGAGGUAGGCGGAAUGCGUGGUGUAGCGGUGAAAUGCAUAGAUAUCACGCAGAACUCCGAUUGCGAAGGCAGCUUACUAAACCAUAACUGACACUGAAGCACGAAAGCGUGGGGAUCAAACAGGAUUAGAUACCCUGGUAGUCCACGCAGUAAACGAUGAUUACUAGGAGUUUGCGAUACAAUGUAAGCUCUACAGCGAAAGCGUUAAGUAAUCCACCUGGGGAGUACGCCGGCAACGGUGAAACUCAAAGGAAUUGACGGGGGCCCGCACAAGCGGAGGAACAUGUGGUUUAAUUCGAUGAUACGCGAGGAACCUUACCCGGGUUUGAACGUAGUCUGACCGGAGUGGAAACACUCUUUCUAGCAAUAGCAGAUUACGAGGUGCUGCAUGGUUGUCGUCGGCUCGUGCCGUGAGGUGUCGGCUUAAGUGCCAUAACGAGCGCAACCCUUAUCACUAGUUACUAACAGGUGAAGCUGAGGACUCUGGUGAGACUGCCAGCGUAAGCUGUGAGGAAGGUGGGGAUGACGUCAAAUCAGCACGGCCCUUACAUCCGGGGCGACACACGUGUUACAAUGGCAUGGACAAAGGGCAGCUACCUGGUGACAGGAUGCUAAUCUCCAAACCAUGUCUCAGUUCGGAUCGGAGUCUGCAACUCGACUCCGUGAAGCUGGAUUCGCUAGUAAUCGCGCAUCAGCCAUGGCGCGGUGAAUACGUUCCCGGGCCUUGUACACACCGCCCGUCAAGCCAUGGGAGCCGGGGGUACCUGAAGUCCGUAACCGCAAGGAUCGGCCUAGGGUAAAACUGGUGACUGGGGCUA